GACGAACGCUGGCGGCGUGCUUAACACAUGCAAGUCGAACGGAAAGGCCCUGCUUUUGUGGGGUGCUCGAGUGGCGAACGGGUGAGUAACACGUGAGUAACCUGCCCUUGACUUUGGGAUAACUUCAGGAAACUGGGGCUAAUACCGGAUAGGAUCUCCUGCUGCAUGGUGGGGGUUGGAAAGUUUCGGCGGUUGGGGAUGGACUCGCGGCUUAUCAGCUGGUUGGUGUGGUAGUUGCUUACCAAGGCUUUGACGGGUAGCCGGCCUGAGAGGGUGACCGGCCACAUUGGGACUGAGAGACGGACCAGACUCCUACGGGAGGCAGCAGUGGGGAAUAUUGCACAAUGGGGGGACGCCUGAUGCAGAGACGCCGCGUGCGGGAUGACGGCCUACGGGUUGUAAACCGCUUUCGCCUGUGACGAAGCGUGAGUGACGGUAAUGGGUAAAGAAGCACCGGCUAACUACGUG
RNAcentral lists this ribosomal RNA (468 nucleotides) under uncultured bacterium. Its description in RNAcentral is "partial 16S ribosomal RNA". It matches the Rfam family "Bacterial small subunit ribosomal RNA", at positions 28 to 507 of the family's 1533-position model. The record is from RNAcentral.